Small nuclear RNA from Schistocerca americana (American grasshopper), 104 nucleotides. The record is from RefSeq and is a predicted model, not a curated record. Lineage: Eukaryota; Metazoa; Arthropoda; Insecta; Orthoptera; Acrididae.
GUACUUGCGUCGGCAGUGCAUAUACUAAAAUUCGAACGAUGCAGAGAAUAUUAGCAUGGCUCCUGCUCAAAAAAGCGUAGUGACUAGCGUUGAUGCUUCAUGAU